RNAcentral lists this ribosomal RNA (397 nucleotides) under uncultured bacterium. Its description in RNAcentral is "partial 16S ribosomal RNA". It matches the Rfam family "Bacterial small subunit ribosomal RNA", at positions 523 to 918 of the family's 1533-position model. The record is from RNAcentral.
AUACGUAGGGGGCGAGCGUUGUCCGGAAUGAUUGGGCGUAAAGGGCGCUUAGGCGGCGCGGUAAGUCUGGAGUGAAAGUCCUGCUUUCAAGGUGGGAAUUGCUUUGGAUACUGCCGCGCUUGAGUGCAGGAGAGGUUAUCGGAAUUCCCGGUGUAGCGGUGAAAUGCGUAGAGAUCGGGAGGAACACCAGUGGCGAAGGCGGGUAACUGGACUGCAACUGACGCUGAGGCGCGAAAGUGUGGGGAGCAAACAGGAUUAGAUACCCUGGUAGUCCACACUGUAAACGAUGAACGCUAGGUGUAAGAGGUAUCGACCCCUUUUGUGCCGGAGUCAACACAAUAAGCAUUCCGCCUGGGGAGUACGGCCGCAAGGUUGAAACUCAAAUGAAUUGACGGGG